Molecule: ribosomal RNA, 392 nt
Filed under: uncultured bacterium
Lineage: Bacteria
Description: partial 16S ribosomal RNA
Rfam family: Bacterial small subunit ribosomal RNA
Source: RNAcentral
AUACGGAGGAUCCGAGCGUUAUCCGGAUUUAUUGGGUUUAAAGGGUGCGCAGGCGGCCAUUUAAGUCAGCGGUUAAAUCGUGGGGCUCAACCCCAUUCUGCCGUUGAUACUGGGUGGCUUGAUUGCGGUCGAGGUUGGCGGAAUUCGUUGUGUAGCGGGGAAAUGCAUAGAUAUGACGAAGAACACCGAUUGCGAAGGCAUCUCACGAAUCCGAGACUGACGCUGAGGCACGAAAGCGUGGGGAUCAAACAGGAUUAGAUACCCUGGUAGUCCACGCAGUAAACGAUGAUAACUAACCGUCGGCGAUAGAAUGUCGGUGGCCAAGCGAAAGCGAUAAGUUAUCCACCUGGGGAGUACGUUCGCAAGAAUGAAACUCAAAUGAAUUGACGGGG